This is a non-coding RNA of Arvicanthis niloticus (Nile rat), 129 nucleotides long. The record is from RefSeq and is a predicted model, not a curated record. NCBI's taxonomy places the organism in Eukaryota, Metazoa, Chordata, Mammalia, Rodentia, Muridae.
GGAGACACCAAGACCAUGUCAGCUCUUAUAAAGGAAGGCAUUUACUUGGAGCUGCCUUGUAGUUUCAGAGGUCUAGCCCAUUGUCAUCACGGCAGGAAGCAUGGCAGCAUGCAGGCAGACAUGGUGCUG